This 86-nucleotide transfer RNA is filed under the name Amylocarpus encephaloides. RNAcentral describes it as "tRNA-Glu". It matches the Rfam family "tRNA". From Rfam's summary of the family: Transfer RNA (tRNA) molecules are approximately 80 nucleotides in length. Their secondary structure includes four short double-helical elements and three loops (D, anti-codon, and T loops). Further hydrogen bonds mediate the characteristic L-shaped molecular structure. tRNAs have two regions of fundamental functional importance: the anti-codon, which is responsible for specific mRNA codon recognition, and the 3' end, to which the tRNAs corresponding amino acid is attached (by aminoacyl-tRNA synthetases). tRNAs cope with the degeneracy of the genetic code in two manners: having more than one tRNA (with a specific anti-codon) for a particular amino acid; and 'wobble' base-pairing, i.e. permitting non-standard base-pairing at the 3rd anti-codon position. The record is from RNAcentral. Lineage: Eukaryota; Fungi; Ascomycota; Leotiomycetes; Helotiales.
UCCGAAUUGGUGUAUCGGUAACAUAUCCGCCUCUCAUCUAAGACGUUAGAUCGCGGUUGCGCGGGGUUCGAUUCCCCGAUUCGGAG